UGCCCAACUCCCUAUUUUGUAUUCCUUAUAGGAGUUAUGAGAUUGAUCACUGUUUGUUAUCUUCACCUUUCAUGUAACAUUUUAAUUUUACCUUUGUCUUUUGUUCACUAAGACUGCCGGUAUCCUGAAUUGGAUUUGGAAAGGGGCUUGGCAGAAUCUCCUAGGACAUGGUAUGCAGUGUUAAAAGUGAUGGACUGAAGUUAUUGUUCUAAAAUGCACAUGAACCAUUAGCCCAAUGUAGGCCAAUAUUAAGUAUAACUAUGUAUAAAACUCAUAUUUUUAUUGCAUAUCCACUGAAGUGUGAUGGAACUGAAGCCCUUCCUAUUGAUAAAUCUACAGAUAUGUCUUCCAUUGCCUUUACCUCCAGUGGGAAUGUGGCGUUCAUUGAUGCAACCUGAUUCAUGGACAAACAUGAUCCUGAAACUUUUAUGCAAUUGUUCUCAUCUAAGACCUUUGUCACAGGACAAACUGUCACAAAAAUCAACUAUUUUCCAGCUGAAUCAGAACCACUGUGAGUUUGUUACAACUGACUUUGGGCUGCGUUCUCAAACACACGCACUUUAAGUCGUAAGGCAGUUGGAUUUGGUACUGGUGAAGGUUGAAAUCAUGGUUCUGAAGAAUGAGUUAUGAUGGAAGUGAUACAAUGAUGGGACACUUAACAUCAUACCAGAAUUAAAAGAGUCAAUAUAAAGAUUCUUGAAUGAUCAACUUCCAUUGGGGAUGAAGGAUGAAUGAGAAAUCUGUAAAUGAUAUUUUGAUUCAAAUUAAGUUAUAUUUUAUAUAUAAUGAUUCAGAAACAUGCUUGCUACCCAAUCUCGCCUGUAUUAAAAAUUAUGCAUGUUGCAUAAGCAGUAUCUAUUGCAUUAGAUUAGAAUAAAACUUUCUUAUGAUAUAAAGAUUUUUUUUUAAAAAUAAAAUUAAUAUGACAGCUGGUUUUGAUUUGUUCUGUUUU
Molecule: long non-coding RNA, 952 nt
Organism: Ostrea edulis (European flat oyster)
Lineage: Eukaryota; Metazoa; Mollusca; Bivalvia; Ostreida; Ostreidae
Exons: 3
Source: RefSeq, a predicted model, not a curated record